UCUCUCUCUCUCUCUGCGACACACACACACAGAAGAAGGGAGAAAGAAAUUUGGGGUGGCAUUUUAUUCCCCCUUCCUUAUUGGCAGUUUCUUUACGUAGUUUAAAGGGAGACGCUGAGUAGAUGUGAUAGAAUACGAUUCUUGUCAAUGGAGUUGCAACCUGGAGGGAAAGACCUAAACUGGCGUGGGAUUUUUGCGCAGUGGCGAAGCCAGGAUUUUUGACUUGGGGAGCCGGAUUAAUAGACAUUUUUUUAUCAGAACUUAUACUUAUUAUAUCAUAAUUUCUUUUUUGUUUUUCAAUACAUUACAUUUGUACACUAAAAUAAUUCUAGCCUAAUACAGUUAAAAGAUACCAAUCAUUUUGUUUUUUUCUUCAGGCAACUUCAACAGAUUGAGAAAUGAGAAUGUAAAAUAACCGGUUUUUUAUCAAAUCAAACCAAAAUUAUUAAAAUUAUAUGUAU
This is a long non-coding RNA of Rhododendron vialii, 461 nucleotides long. RefSeq lists it as uncharacterized. Lineage: Eukaryota; Viridiplantae; Streptophyta; Magnoliopsida; Ericales; Ericaceae. The record is from RefSeq and is a predicted model, not a curated record. The transcript is spliced from 2 exons.